UGCUGCAGCCUCCUCCAGCCACCAUGGGGACACCCAGGCAGCGUGUCCAAGCAGGAAGACAUCCCUGCCCUCAUCUGCCAACACCAGGCAAGGAAACUCCAGUCCAGGUUGGGUUUGAAGAGAGGAGAUGACUCAAACUCCAACAAUUUUGUGCAGCAUUUGGGAGAGAAGGGACCGACUAGAGGGCAGCAAAGCUCCAGGCCGGGAUGCUGCUGGGGAAGGCAGCGGGAUGCUAGAGGACCCCUGCACCCACAGGCUGGAGGAGUCAGGGGACUGCAAGCCCUGUGGUGUGCAGGGCGGCAACCAAGGACCUCCCAGCACGGCUAGAGGGGCUCAACCUUGAUGCCCAUGGGGUGGGAUGUGCCCCCCAAAGAGGUUGGUGCUCCACACCCCGACCCACAGCCCCUGGAUCCUCGGGGGGGCUUUAAAGGCAUCUCCAACCAGAAGAUGCUCAGGCCUCUGAUAAAUGCUCAGUGAAACCAGUGCAAUGGCUCUGUGGAUCACAUGAGAGCGUUCAGAGAUGGGAGCUUCUCAGCCCCAGGUGUGUUGGGACACAAUGGGCCCCAUUCCUGCCUUGCUGAGGACCACCUAGAAGUCUGAACUGCAGCUUCUUGCUCAAACCAGUACCCCAGAUAGUCUCUCCUGCAGGUUGAACGACCCCAACUCUCUCAGCCAGUCCUCGUAUGGGAGAUGCUCCAGCCCUUGGAUCAUCUCUGUGGUCUCCUCUGGACUCGCUCCAACAGAUCCAUGUCCUUCCUGCGCUGAGGACUCCAGAACUGGACACAGAACUCCAGGAGUGUUGGCACUUUUCAGGCUCUCUCUGUUUAACAAGUUAGUGGAAUUUGGGAUGUUGUUUUUAAAAGGGCUGUUGUUAGGUCUUCUGUGUUUCUCAUCAGGAAGCGAUGAGGAGGCCUUUAGCCAGAUUAAAAAAGAUCUGAUUUUGAGGUGCUGAGGAUGUGGUUCUUGGGGAGAAGCGAGAAAGUAUCUUUAACUUUUGCAGUACCAAGGAAACUCAAGCUGCAGCCUGGGCUUCUUCCCCAGGAAGCCUCAGUUUACGCAGUCCUGCCAUUAAAUAUUUAGGAUAAACAUUUCCAUGAACGAUAAGGCUGCAGCAUCCAAGGUAAAUAAGUUCCCUACCAAAGGGCCACUGUGACAGCAGGAAUUUGUCUGCAAGUUGGGAGGAAAGAGAUGCCAAGCUGGCAUUUCUGCAGGCUGUGCCCAUCUGCCUGGGAUGGGGGGUCCCUCCUGCAAGGCUGACCCUGAAGGGGGUGUCGGGGGACAAAGCAGGGGUGAAUGCGCUGUGGGUGACCCAUGGUUGGGCAGAGACACCAGAGCUCGCAGCUCUCCCUGUCACAAGGCUCAUCACCUCCCAAUGCCAGCCUUGGUCUGGGUGGUCCUGCAAAGCAAGGGAGCAGCAGACACUGUCACAGCCCCCCCAGUCCCCAUCCUGGCUCUCUGUGUGCUUCAGCUUUGAAGACAACUCUUCCAAGGCUCUCAAAGCAUUUCCUUCACUAUAAAGGGAGGAGCCUGACCACCCAUUGCCAUCCUGUGCCCAGCUCCAGCAGCAUGCCCAGGUCUUCCCAGGAGCCUGGAGUUACUUAGUGAAGCUCAGCAGGUGCCAGGCUCCCUCUGAGCUUGUUUUUCCUUCCUUUCCAUCUAAACUUCCCAGCCAAAACAUCCUCUUCCCCUGAGAACCCUUGCAGAGAUCCUUAUCUCCCCAAGGUCCUUGUUGUAAGAAGAAGGAAUGUGUGGGGUUGUUGGCGGCCUGGAUUGCAAAGGACACGCUGUACAGUGGGGACUUUGCCAGGAAGCCAGUCUGUUUGGGAAGGAAGAGUGUGCCUGGAAAGCACAGCUUGCCGCACCACAGCUCAGGGCCAGGAUCUGCAAGGAGAGGGAAGAUACAGAGAAAGCCUUGCCUUCAAGCGGGAAAAGAGGACAAGAGGUUUGUGCUGCCUGUCUAAAAGGAGCUAAAAUUCCAGUAAAGUGGAGUGGGAGCUUUCAUUCAGCUGGUAGCACCUCUUCUUCCCCACCGAGCAUUGCCAUGGCAGCUUGCAGCUGCGUGGAGCAGCUGGAGAAGGGCUCCCAUCGCGGGCAGGUGUCCAGUAUCUUCAGUGCUCCCUUGCUUGGUCUGUUUGCCUGGUGCGAGGUAGACGUUGGUCCUCCAUGGCUGAAGCAGUGACUGCAGAGAGAACACAGCCAGGAAGCCGCCCCUAUGGCUGCUGCUGAACUCCUCCAUACAUUUCCGCUGCUGUCUGCCUGUGCUCGGUGGGAACGUGCGUCUCCAAAGCAGCGUAGGGAUUAAUGGACCGUAAGGAACAGGGCAGAUCUCACCAUGCUGUCCCCAUCCUGGCCGGCAGCGGGUGCAGCCCUGGAACAGCGGAGCUCCAAGCCAGCUCCACUCCAGCAUCUCCUCUGAAAUAUCCUGUCUCAAAGUGAUUUUACAAGCCUUUACUUCCAGGGAUCUUGACCUUUUGAUUUAUAAAUCAGCUGUGUUAUUGAACAGAUGAAUAAUACAUGAUCACACCCAGCCCUGCACUAAGCUCUAUGUGUAAAAUUUAAUUAAUCCUCUCACGUAACACACCCAAGGGCCAGUGAUGAAUUGUUACGCACAGCUUGGGCUGCCAGUCUACCCAGAGCAUCCCAGCCCCAGCAUCCCGCUCACCCCAGGUGGCUUUCCCUCCAGCAAUUUUUUUGGAUGCUUCUCUCUCUGGGUGUUUUAAAGGGGAAAAUUCCCCCUUUGCUGUGGAACUGCUAGAGGAAACCCUGACAGCAUUCUAUCCCAAAGUAUUUCCUCUGGGAAAUAAUAUUGGCUUUUUCUUUCCCUGACAUUUUCUUGCCGUGGCUGUUCAUAACAUGAAAUCCUAAGUAAAUGUCUCCAUUCAGGUGGGUUUAACAGGUAACCAUGAGCAAACACUAUCACUGUCGGUGCAACCUCCAGGAGAUCCCCAGGUAUUUAAAUGGGAAUCAGCCCCAAAGGUGGCCUUGUUCCCAGCAUGGUCCUUCCCUCCAGCUACUGCAUGGGAGGGGUGGGAACAGGUUUGCUUGUUCAUGGACUCUGGGGUGAGUUUUGGAGCUAAUGUGAUCUGGCAUUGGUCCCACAUGGAUGAAAGCUCUGCCUGCUCCCACUGGCAGAUAAGCCAGUCCCUGGUCGCUGCCUCUCCCCAUCUGAGCACGUGGUGUUUCAGUGAAAGCGCUGAAAAAUAAACACAUUUCCUUAUAACUCCAAGCACACAAAUGUUACCCUUGGCUGCACGUGAAGGGCUGGGCACCCUGGGACUGAAGGGGCUUUUGUUGGGGAAAUGGCUGCAAGAGCAAGUUGAAAACUCUUUCUAGGUUCCUCUCCCUGCCUCCUUCUCCCAACUUUUCCCUGGAUGGCAGAGACGAUCUGGAGGGAUUUACAGCUCUCUCCCACGGCUGCAGCCUGCAGGGCUCAGGGAGCAUCCCCUUCUCUGGGGCAACAGCUGGAGCCUCUUCACUGUAAGCUCCUUCCCAGCUUUUCUCCCUCCUCCUUGCAGGCUGUGGAUGCCCUGGGCUUCCUCCUCUCUCCCUCCCAACCCUCCCAAUUAAAUGUUUCCAAGUGAGAUUGUCUUGAAGUGUCUGCAGCUUCAGAAAUUCCCUGCAGGUUGCUUCUGAGGAGUGGUUUCAAAGGCUUCCUGAGUCCUGGAAACAAUUUCCAGGCACCGAGGAGAGGACAGUGCCAGCCCCAGUCAUGGCUUGGCAGACGGUCCAAAGAGCCACCAGGCUGGGAUGUUCUCUGCCCAUCCCAGCCAUGGAGGGACAGCUCUGGUGUGGGGUCCAAGGGAUGUCAGGCAGCACAAUACUUUCAGGAUGAGGUUCCAGGCUCCUGGAUGCAGCAGGAUGAAUGUUCCUCAGCACAGCCUCCAGAUGUGCAUUUAAUUCCAAUUCAGUCAUGUUUACUGUGAGACCGUAAAGCCGUGGAGUGCUUUUGGAUGCGUUUCCGGGGCUAUCCUCCAGCUUCUUCCCAUGCAUGGCUACCAUCUCCUGCCACCAAACCCUUCCCUUACUGUUUAUUUGUCGCACUUAAUCAAUACAAAUGAGUUAUGAGCCAUGAAUGGUCCCUGAUCCCAGUGCAAAUCUCUGUAAAACAGAGAUCUCUGUAAAAAAGGCUGGAAAAGCCUUUCCCCAGUCUUUGGCUGGUUCGCUUUGUGUGUUUGCUGGGGGCUGUGCUGCUCCCCUCUUGGACACCGGCUGUACCUGCUGGGGGUGGUGUCCCUUUGUCCUCUGGGUGCUGACAAUCCCACCCACAACACGUCCUGCACUGGGGUGGCUGGCAGAGACCCCCUAGGAGCAUCAGAAGGCACCUCCAUCAGCUAGAACAUCAUCACUGUUUUUCCUUCUGUGCUGUACUCAUAGCAGUGUGGCUCUGCCCUCAUCUGCCUCCCCACUGAUGUCCUCACCUUCCAUGCCUGCAAGGGCCAUUCCCUGAACUCCUCCCUGAGUCAAUUUUUAACAACCCCAUUUAUAUGUGUUACCACUGUCCUACACAGAGUCCCUGAUCGCAUUUGGCAGGUUGGCCAGGCUUGAAAACCCUCAACUUUCUCUUGCGAGCUGUAUCAAUAUUUAUUUUGAGUCUUGCAUGAAACCUGCUGAACCCUGGUGGUACAUUUGCAAGUGUCAUUGUUUGGGGAUUUAUCGGAUGGUUCCUUAUUGCAAACAUCAGGGAGGCUGGUUGUGAAGCAUCAAUGAUUUCCUUGAAGGAAAACAGCUGGAUCUGUUGAUGUGGCCAUCCAUCCAUCCAUCCCAAGACACCUCAAGCAACCCCUACUACCCCACGUGUGCAGAAAGAGGGUACAGGGGCAGGGAUGAAGGUGGGUCUACCAUCCAUGGAGAUUCAUGGGAUGUGCCUGUUGGGUGCUGGGGAUGGAAGAGGGGAACAAGGGACUGAAGUGGCAAAUGUGGUGCAGCCAUGGCCAUGCUGCACACACCAGGGCAGC
Molecule: long non-coding RNA, 4955 nt
Organism: Cuculus canorus (common cuckoo)
Lineage: Eukaryota; Metazoa; Chordata; Aves; Cuculiformes; Cuculidae
Exons: 6
Source: RefSeq, a predicted model, not a curated record